RNAcentral lists this ribosomal RNA (256 nucleotides) under uncultured bacterium. RNAcentral's name for it is "partial 16S ribosomal RNA". It matches the Rfam family "Bacterial small subunit ribosomal RNA", at positions 524 to 776 of the family's 1533-position model. The record is from RNAcentral.
UACGAAGGGGGAGCUAGCGUUGCUCGGAAUGACUGGGCGUAAAGGGCGCGUAGGCGGAUGGCACAGUCAGAUGUGAAAUUCCCGGGCUUAACCUGGGGGGCUGCAUUUGAUACGUGUUGUCUUGAGUUCGGAAGAGGGUCGUGGAAUUCCCAGUGUAGAGGUGAAAUUCGUAGAUAUUGGGAAGAACACCGGUGGCGAAGGCGGCGACCUGGUCCGACACUGACGCUGAGGCGCGAAAGCGUGGGGAGCAAACAGG